CACGUAGUUAGCCGGUACUUCUUCUGCAGGUACCGUCACCCGAAGGCUUCUUCCCUACUGAAAGAGGUUUACAACCCGAAGGCCGUCAUCCCCCACGCGGCGUCGCUGCAUCAGGGUUUCCCCCAUUGUGCAAUAUUCCCCACUGCUGCCUCCCGUAGGAGUCUGGGCCGUGUCUCAGUCCCAGUGUGGCCGGUCGCCCUCUCAGGCCGGCUACCCGUCGUCGCCUUGGUAGGCCAUCACCCCACCAACAAGCUGAUAGGCCGCGAGCCCAUCCCCAACCGAAAAACUUUCCACCACCACUCCAUGCGGAGAAUGGUCAUAUCCGGUAUUAGACCCAGUUUCCCGGGCUUAUCCCAGAGUCAGGGGCAGGUUACUCACGUGUUACUCACCCGUUCGCCACUCAUCCACCCACAGCAAGCUGCAGGCUUCAGCGUUCGACUUGCAUGUGUUAAGCACGCCGCCAGCGUUCGUCCUGAGCCAGGAUCAAACUCU
Molecule: ribosomal RNA, 492 nt
Filed under: uncultured Brevibacterium sp.
Lineage: Bacteria; Bacillati; Actinomycetota; Actinomycetes; Micrococcales; Brevibacteriaceae
Description: partial 16S ribosomal RNA
Source: RNAcentral